GACGAACGCUGGCGGCGUGCCUAAUACAUGCAAGUAGAACGCUGAAGGAGGAGCUUGCUUCUCCGGAUGAGUUGCGAACGGGUGAGUAACGCGUAGGUAACCUGCCUGGUAGCGGGGGAUAACUAUUGGAAACGAUAGCUAAUACCGCAUAAGAGUAGAUGUUGCAUGACAUUUGCUUAAAAGGUGCAAUUGCAUCACUACCAGAUGGACCUGCGUUGUAUUAGCUAGUUGGUGAGGUAACGGCUCACCAAGGCGACGAUACAUAGCCGACCUGAGAGGGUGAUCGGCCACACUGGGACUGAGACACGGCCCAGACUCCUACGGGAGGCAGCAGUAGGGAAUCUUCGGCGAUGGACGGAAGUCUGACCGAGCAACGCCGCGUGAGUGAAGAAGGUUUUCGGAUCGUAAAGCUCUGUUGUAAGAGAAGAACGAGUGUGAGAGUGGAAAGUUCACACUGUGACGGUAUCUUACCAGAAAGGGACGGCUAACUACGUG
RNAcentral lists this ribosomal RNA (495 nucleotides) under uncultured bacterium. RNAcentral's name for it is "partial 16S ribosomal RNA". It matches the Rfam family "Bacterial small subunit ribosomal RNA", at positions 28 to 507 of the family's 1533-position model. The record is from RNAcentral.